Long non-coding RNA from Dreissena polymorpha, 1813 nucleotides. RefSeq lists it as uncharacterized. The record is from RefSeq and is a predicted model, not a curated record. Lineage: Eukaryota; Metazoa; Mollusca; Bivalvia; Myida; Dreissenidae. The transcript is spliced from 7 exons.
GUUCGUGUUGGGACGCAUUCUUUGUUGUCGUUAUCUUGUUCAUGCGGACACGUGAUUCAUUAUGUCACGUAAUGUCAAGUACUAACGUGGUGGUUGUUUUCACGUGGUGUAUACGUUUCGAUGUAUAGUCACGUUCUCAUGUGGUUUUGUGAUGUGACGCAGUAUGUGUUGACCUCACUUGGUUCAUGCAGUCACGUGGUACAUUAGAUCACGUGUGUCACGUGCCGACAUAGUGCGUGUUGUCACGGACUUAUAUGUUUAGUGCUUCAGAUACAUUGCAGAGUGCCUGGGUGCGCAGGAGAAAGUGGAGAAGGCUCACCGGAUGUUGCGGGAACUCAAGGAGCACCGGCUGGAGCGGCGCCUGAACCCCGACCAGUUCUUCCACUACAACGUUCACUGGGUCGGCAGGGAAGGUAUUAAGCACACACGCAGGUAUCGAGCCGGAAACCAGCGAAGAGCACCGGAAGUACAUGGCGCGCCUCUGCAAGGACUUCACGGACAACAUGAUAUCCAUGGUAACUCAGGCUAUCCGGAAGCGGAAGCUUCUGCAUGAUCGGCUCACCGAGGAAUGUCUGCAGCACAUCCGUUUGUGCCAGGCAAAGUGCGCGGAGUUCCAUGGACGUACCGAGACGCUGGAGCGGAUCAAAUCCUACCUGCUGGAUACAUCGACAACGGCCCCGCUCGUUGUGCACGGGAUCAGUGGAACGGGCAAAACGUCCAUCCUGGCGAUGUCGGCGAAUCUUUGCAAGACCUGACUGAACAAGACACCAAUGCUCGUGUUAAGGUUUCUCGGUACAACAGUUGCGAGUUCUUCCGUUCUGCCUCUGCUACAGAGUCUGGUGCACCAACUGAGUAUGCUGGGUAAUCAACGCCUCCGAAUCAGCCUGACCGUCGACCUUCUAAAAGUUCAGUUGAUGGUCCUUUUAAAGCAAGGCACGGCGGAGUGUCCACUCGUGGUCAUCUUAGACUCGCUUGACCAGCUGGACACCUCACACAAUGGCCGCUCCUUGACGUGGCUUCCGGCCUCUCUGCCGCCUCACUGCAAGGUCAUCGUAUCAUCACUUCCGGAGGAGAAAUAUGAGGCGUUUCCGGCCCUCAAUGUGCGGGUGCUCUCAAUAAGGCAACUAGUGUACUCGUAUAAGGGGAAAACGAUGUAGAGGCGAAUUCUAAUUCAUACGUGUUCUCCCGGAAGCACUUUUAAAAAACUUUUUAUGAGUGAAGAAGUGAAACAAACGAACCCACAUUAAGACCACACCAAAGUUUCUAACAUUUCUCAUAACAGUGUUUAGUUCAAGCUUUCAUGUGGUUAACAGAUGGGUAUAAAAGAUUUAAACUGAUAAUUCACUGUUUCAAACAGUAAAAACACUAUUUUGGCGUCACAAAUUCAUAAUUCCCGCGAAAGUCACCAGUUUAUAUCAGUUUAUAUCAACAUAAUGCAAACAUGCAUACAAUUGAAAUAAAAUGUGUUGCCUAUGGUGGACUAACUAUUUUGAGUUAAACACUCGUGAUCAUAGAACAUUAAAAAGUCUCGGUCUGAGAUAACGGGGCUUGAUACAUCUGCGUUAAGUGUGAUCCAAGAAAUUAAUUCAUGACGAGGAAAGGUUCAUACAGGUUCCGGAAUAAGAUCAAAGCGAUGCACACAUCAUAGUUUUGUCGUGGGCGGACAAACGGAACCGGAAGUUGACUUCACCCCAGAUUGACAUCCUGCUGAGCACAUUCCGGAAGUGCCUGACACCGCUGUUCUUAAAGUUUUCGUUUGACGAAGCCAUGCUGUGGCGCUCGUUCGACCCCCCAUCACGGACGGUGCUGCAGA